Molecule: ribosomal RNA, 448 nt
Filed under: uncultured bacterium
Lineage: Bacteria
Description: partial 16S ribosomal RNA
Rfam family: Bacterial small subunit ribosomal RNA
Source: RNAcentral
UCCAGACUCCUACGGGAGGCAGCAGUGGGGAAUAUUGGGCAAUGGGCGCAAGCCUGACCCAGCAACGCCGCGUGAAGGAAGAAGGCUUUCGGGUUGUAAACUUCUUUUGACAGGGAAGAGUAGAAGACGGUACCUGUCGAAUAAGCCACGGCUAACUACGUGCCAGCAGCCGCGGUAAUACGUAGGUGGCAAGCGUUGUCCGGAUUUACUGGGUGUAAAGGGCGUGUAGCCGGGUUGACAAGUCAGAUGUGAAAUCCUGCGGCUUAACCGCAGAACUGCAUUUGAAACUGUUGAUCUUGAGUACUGGAGAGGCAGACGGAAUUCCUAGUGUAGCGGUGAAAUGCGUAGAUAUCGCGCAGAACCCCGAUUGCGAAGGCAGCGUACCGGCCCCACACUGACGCUGAGGCACGAAAGCGUGGGUAUCGAACAGGAUUAGAUACCCCGGUAC